GUGCCAGCAGCCGCGGUAAUACAGAGACCUCAAGCGUUAUCCGGAUUUAUUGGGCGUAAAGAGCUGGUAGGUGGUUAUAUUAGUCAGAUGUCAAAUCUCGGAGCUCAACUUCGAAACUGCAUUUGAAACGGUAUAACUAGAGGGUGUGAGAGAUCUAUGGAACUCAUGGUGUAGCAGUGAAAUGCGUUGAUAUCAUGAGGAACACCAAAGGCGAAGGCAUUAGAUUGGCACACUCCUGACACUGAGCAGCGAAAGCGUGGGUAGCGAAUGGGAUUAGAAACCCCCGUAGUCC
This 292-nucleotide ribosomal RNA is filed under the name uncultured bacterium. Its description in RNAcentral is "partial 16S ribosomal RNA". It matches the Rfam family "Bacterial small subunit ribosomal RNA", at positions 505 to 796 of the family's 1533-position model. The record is from RNAcentral.